RNAcentral lists this ribosomal RNA (359 nucleotides) under Scutellastra longicosta. Its description in RNAcentral is "partial 12S ribosomal RNA". It matches the Rfam family "Bacterial small subunit ribosomal RNA", at positions 875 to 1384 of the family's 1533-position model. The record is from RNAcentral. Lineage: Eukaryota; Metazoa; Mollusca; Gastropoda; Patellidae.
GAUGUAAAUUUAGUUCAACUGCCAGGGCACUACGAACACAUGUUUAAAACCCAAAGGAAUUGGCGGUACUAUAUCCAACUAGGGGAACCUGUUCCUUAAUUCGAUAACCCACGAAAAUCUUACUCGCUCUAGCUAAUCAGCUUAUAUACCGUCGUUUAGCUAACCUUUCUAGAGAAAAGAAGUUAGCAAAAAAGGUUUUUCCCUAAUAAAACAGAUAAAGGUGUAGCCAACGAGUGAGGGAGAAUUUGUUACAAUUAACAAUUUGUUAAUGGACCAAAAAUGAAAUUUUUUUUGGAGAAAGAGGACUUAGAAGUAAUUUUUUUAAAUAAAAUCAAAAUGAAUACGGCUCUAUAGUGUGU